AGGGUUUGAUCAUGGCUCAGGACGAACGCUGGCGGCGUGCUUAACACAUGCAAGUCGAACGGGCUGAAGUGAUAGCUUGCUAUUAUGGAUGCUAGUGGCAAACGGGUGAGUAACGCGUAGGCAACCUGCCCUUCAGAUGGGGACAACACUUCGAAAGAGGUGCUAAUACCGAAUGACGUAUCCAUUCCGCAUGGAGAGGGUACCAAAGGCCGGGCAACCGGUCACUGAAGGAUGGGCCUGCGUCUGAUUAGCUAGUUGGUGGGGUAACGGCUCACCAAGGCGACGAUCAGUAGCCGGUCUGAGAGGAUGAACGGCCACAUUGGGACUGAGACACGGCCCAA
Molecule: ribosomal RNA, 341 nt
Filed under: uncultured bacterium
Lineage: Bacteria
Description: bacterial SSU rRNA
Rfam family: Bacterial small subunit ribosomal RNA
Source: RNAcentral